Molecule: non-coding RNA, 83 nt
Organism: Danio rerio (zebrafish)
Lineage: Eukaryota; Metazoa; Chordata; Actinopteri; Cypriniformes; Danionidae
Source: Rfam
GAUAGCGUAGCCAAGGGAUCUAAGGCGCUGGAUUUAGGUUCCAGUCUCUUUGUGGGUGUGCGUUCAAAUCCCAUCCGCUGCCA